This 496-nucleotide ribosomal RNA is filed under the name uncultured bacterium. RNAcentral's name for it is "partial 16S ribosomal RNA". It matches the Rfam family "Bacterial small subunit ribosomal RNA", at positions 29 to 507 of the family's 1533-position model. The record is from RNAcentral.
AUGAACGCUGGCGGCGUGCCUAAUACCUGCAAGUCGAGCGAACAGACGAGGAGCUUGCUCCUCUGACGUUAGCGGCGGACGGGUGAGUAACACGUGGAUAACCUACCUAUAAGACUGGGAUAACUUCGGGAAACCGGAGCUAAUACCGGAUAAUAUAUUGAACCGCAUGGUUCAAUAGUGAAAGACGGUUUUGCUGUCACUUAUAGAUGGAUCCGCGCCGCAUUAGCUAGUUGGUAAGGUAACGGCUUACCAAGGCAACGAUGCGUAGCCGACCUGAGAGGGUGAUCGGCCACACUGGAACUGAGACACGGUCCAGACUCCUACGGGAGGCAGCAGUAGGGAAUCUUCCGCAAUGGGCGAAAGCCUGACGGAGCAACGCCGCGUGAGUGAUGAAGGUCUUCGGAUCGUAAAACUCUGUUAUUAGGGAAGAACAAAUGUGUAAGUAACUAUGUACGUCUUGACGGUACCUAAUCAGAAAGCCACGGCUAACUACGUG